Molecule: long non-coding RNA, 234 nt
Filed under: Trifolium pratense (red clover)
Lineage: Eukaryota; Viridiplantae; Streptophyta; Magnoliopsida; Fabales; Fabaceae
Description: long non-coding RNA (TPRA_LNC001845)
Source: RNAcentral
GUAAUGGUCCAAUAAUGAAGAGUUUAGUCCAUGAAUCUUUUAUACCAAGCUCACCCAAAAUUGAUAUGUGAAACAUAGAUGUCUUUGAAUGAGUUAAGAUUAAAGCAAUAGACCCAUUUAGUAGCACCAAACGUCUCCCGACAGCAUAAUUAAAAGCAUCACUAUCAUCCACGUACGAGGGUAUGAGUGUUGUAAUGAAAGAUUCAUUGCUGAAGUCAAAUGACACCAAAUAUG